RNAcentral lists this ribosomal RNA (404 nucleotides) under uncultured Desulfatiglans sp. RNAcentral describes it as "bacterial SSU rRNA". It matches the Rfam family "Bacterial small subunit ribosomal RNA", at positions 355 to 774 of the family's 1533-position model. The record is from RNAcentral. Lineage: Bacteria; Pseudomonadati; Thermodesulfobacteriota; Desulfobacteria; Desulfatiglandales; Desulfatiglandaceae.
UGGGGAAUAUUGCACAAUGGGCGCAAGCCUGAUGCAGCAACGCCGCGUGAGUGAUGAAGGCCUUCGGGUUGUAAAACUCUGUCCUAUGGGAAGAAACAAAUGACGGUACCAUAGGAGGAAGCCCCGGCUAACUACGUGCCAGCAGCCGCGGUAAUACGUAGGGGGCAAGCGUUAUCCGGAAUCACUGGGCGUAAAGGGUGCGUAGGCGGCUUAUCAAGCCAGGGGUGAAAGGCAUUGGCUCAACCAAUGUAAGCCUUUGGAACUGAUAGGCUUGAGUGCAGGAGAGGUAAGUGGAAUUCCUAGUGUAGAGGUGAAAUUCGUAGAUAUUAGGAGGAACACCAGUGGCGAAGGCGACUUACUGGACUGUAACUGACGCUGAGGCACGAAAGCGUGGGUAGCGAACA